Molecule: ribosomal RNA, 391 nt
Filed under: uncultured microorganism
Description: bacterial SSU rRNA
Rfam family: Bacterial small subunit ribosomal RNA
Source: RNAcentral
GAGUUUGAUCGUGGCUCAAAUUGAACGCUGGCGGCAUGCCUUACACAUGCAAGUCGAACGGCAGCAUGAUCUAGCUUGCUAGAUUGAUGGCGAGUGGCGAACGGGUGAGUAAUACAUCGGAACGUGCCCUGUAGUGGGGGAUAACUAGUCGAAAGAUUAGCUAAUACCGCAUACGACCUGAGGGUGAAAGUGGGGGACCGCAAGGCCUCAUGCUAUAGGAGCGGCCGAUGUCUGAUUAGCUAGUUGGUGGGGUAAAGGCCCACCAAGGCGACGAUCAGUAGCUGGUCUGAGAGGACGAUCAGCCACACUGGGACUGAGACACGGCCCAGACUCCUACGGGAGGCAGCAGUGGGGAAUUUUGGACAAUGGGCGAAAGCCUGAUCCAGCAAUG